GGACCGGUGUGAGGAGACACACCCCGUGCUCUCUUCAGAAGCAAUGUGGAGAGAAACGCGGUGCAGUGAGACUUCAUUGUUCCUGCUUUAUUCACCUGAUACAGGGCCCCUCCCUGAACCAUUAUUGUCUCUUGGUAAAGGACUGAAAAGGCUCAGACUGCAACCACUGACAUCCUCAAUGCUGCAUGGCUUGUCUGAGCUCUCCAUGGUUGACUUCAGGUUCGGACCUGUGCCAAGAGGUUCACCCCUAUCAUACCAGUGUCCUCCAGUUGUAGCCGUACCCACAAGUCAUGUAUAACACCCAGAUGCACCCGUAUUCUCUGAACUGCCAUUAGAAGGCUCAACAUUCCCUGCUGUUUUUCCAAACUUUGAGCCAAAUUUGCAACAUGUCCUCCAUCUAAUCAAGGAUAUAAGCAGAACCGAAAGACGUCUCAACUAGAUCGUCGGCAAUAAGUUCCUCAUCAGAGGACGAAAGGAAGAGGAAGAAGAAGCCCAAGAAAAAGAAGAAGAAGAAGCAGAAAGCAAAAAAAAAGGUCUAAAAAGUAGAUUAUCUAUGUGAAUGAACAAAUAUUGUUUAUAGUUCUAAUUUUUAGUGGAAUUUGUGUGGCAUUUUUGUUUUGGGGAAUUGGGCACAAUUACGUUUUUGUGACAUUUAGCAGUACUUUUGUAUAUAGUAGUUGAAUAUUAUUUAUAUAGUGGUUUAGCUUAUGUAGUACUUUCCUAUAGUUAGUUUAAAUAAAUAGAAUAUUUUUUUCUUAUAAGUAAGAGUUAUCAAUAAUGCAUAAUGUUUUUAUUAUUUUGCUCUGGUUUGUGAAUUGGUUAUUUUCAAAAUAAAUUUAUUUAAUAAUGGAAACAAUGUUACAGAACCCUUUGUACUUACAGACAGGUCAUGGGUACUUAGAGUGUAAGUACUCGGUACCUGCAUAGGUAGGGAAGGUAGUUACAGGCAAAGUACUCAAUAGUUGCACAGUAAGUGAAGCCAACAAGUGUUCACUUUAUAAUACGACCAGUAGUUACAGGCAAAAUACUCAAUAGUUGCACAGUAAGUGAAGCCAACAAGUGUUCACUUUAUAAUACGGCCCGGUUCCCAGUUGUUGACCAGUAGUUACAGGUAAAGUGCUGGGUUGUUGCAGUGGAAGUACUGGAUAGUUAGACAGUAAGGAAAGACAAGGGUGAUCUUAAGGGCUGGGUAACUUUAAAAGGUGAAUUGUUGUCUCUGAAAAAUAAAGAUAUUAAAUAAAUAAAGAUGUUUUGUACGUCUG
This is a long non-coding RNA of Acanthochromis polyacanthus (spiny chromis), 1262 nucleotides long. RefSeq lists it as uncharacterized. The record is from RefSeq and is a predicted model, not a curated record. The transcript is spliced from 3 exons. Lineage: Eukaryota; Metazoa; Chordata; Actinopteri; Pomacentridae.